CCCUUAGAUGUCCUGGGCCGCACGCGUGCUACACUGGCGCCUACAGCGAGUACUUCCCAGCCCCGAGAGGUGGCUGGUAAUCAGCAAUAGGCGUCGUGAUGGGGAUAGAUCUUUGGAAUUAUGGAUCUUGAACGAGGAAUGCCUAGUAAGCGCAGGUCAUUAGCCUGCGUUGAUUAAGUCCCUGCCCUUUGUACACACCGCCCGUCGCUCCUACCGAUUUCGAGUGGUCCGGUGAAUCUUUCGGACUGCGCGCGGCUUCGUGCCGUGUCGCGGAAAGUCAGGUAAACCUUAUCACUUAGAGGAAGGAGAAGUCGUAACA
This 319-nucleotide ribosomal RNA is filed under the name uncultured eukaryote. RNAcentral describes it as "partial 18S ribosomal RNA". It matches the Rfam family "Eukaryotic small subunit ribosomal RNA", at positions 1470 to 1796 of the family's 1831-position model. The record is from RNAcentral.